This 497-nucleotide ribosomal RNA is filed under the name uncultured bacterium. RNAcentral's name for it is "partial 16S ribosomal RNA". It matches the Rfam family "Bacterial small subunit ribosomal RNA", at positions 28 to 507 of the family's 1533-position model. The record is from RNAcentral.
GAUGAACGCUGGCGGCGUGCCUAAUACAUGCCAGUCGAGCGAACAGAUGAGGAGCUUGCUCCUCUGACGUUAGCGGCGGACGGGUGAGUAACACGUGGAUAACCUACCUAUAAGACUGGGAUAACUUCGGGAAACCGGAGCUAAUACCGGAUAAUAUAUUGAACCGCAUGGUUCAAUAGUGAAAGACGGUUUUGCUGUCACUUAUAGAUGGAUCCGCGCCGCAUUAGCUAGUUGGUAAGGUAACGGCUUACCAAGGCAACGAUGCGUAGCCGACCUGAGAGGGUGAUCGGCCACACUGGAGCUGAGACACGGUCCAGACUCCUACGGGAGGCAGCAGUAGGGAAUCUUCCGCAAUGGGCGAAAGCCUGACGGAGCAACGCCGCGUGAGUGAUGAAGGUCUUCGGAUCGUAAAACUCUGUUAUUAGGGAAGAACAAAUGUGUAAGUAACUAUGCACGUCUUGACGGUACCUAAUCAGAAAGCCACGGCUAACUACGUG